UGUGUAGGCGGAUAUGUAAGUCAGAGGUGAAAGCCACCGGCCUAACCGGUGAACUGCCUUUGAUACUGCAUAUCUUGAGUCCUGGAGGGGUCACUAGAAUUCGUGGUGUAGCGGUGAAAUGCGUAGAUAUCACGAGGAAUACCAGAGGCGAAGGCGGGUGACUGGACAGGUACUGACGCUAAGGCACGAAAGCGUGGGGAGCAAACA
RNAcentral lists this ribosomal RNA (207 nucleotides) under uncultured bacterium. RNAcentral describes it as "partial 16S ribosomal RNA". It matches the Rfam family "Bacterial small subunit ribosomal RNA", at positions 568 to 774 of the family's 1533-position model. The record is from RNAcentral.